RNA transcript from Neodiprion virginianus, 4146 nucleotides. It is a transcript of the gene named DNA-directed RNA polymerase III subunit RPC5, with no coding region annotated. NCBI's taxonomy places the organism in Eukaryota, Metazoa, Arthropoda, Insecta, Hymenoptera, Diprionidae. The record is from RefSeq and is a predicted model, not a curated record. The transcript is spliced from 10 exons.
UAAAAACUCAUGAACCAAUUCGUCGAACUCAUAAACCAAAUUCGUUAGUGCAUUUCUGUAAUUUUAUUCACGAGGCGUAUGCAUUAAAACUCUCCCACGCUGUACCAUGAGAUUAAAUUUAUUUCUAAUAGGCUGUCACCCCCACGUGACCCGUCAGUAAAGCUUCAGGUAAUGCAGCGCUAGGUCCGUUGUGGGAUAACUCACGGAAUAAGUGGUAACGCAAAACCGCCAUUACCCAGCUGUCCAAUUAUCUCCAUUAGAUAGGUUAUGUCACAUUCUCCACAAUCAGCGUCGGAAGUUUAGGAGCAGCUUGGCCAAGUCGGAAACUUUCGGCGUCUACGGAAAUGAAUUGACCUUCUGAUCGGCAUCGAAAUCCAUUUGUGAGGGGAAUCAGGACGCAGUUAAAUUCCUGGUCGACAAACACAGCGAUUUCGCGAUGGAAGAGGUCGGCGCUUCCGACCCGGUCGUCAAGGAGAUUCCUGUAUUCCUGUCGAAAACCCUCGCUGAGAAGCUUUUCAUCUUCCAAUACCCGCUGCGGUCGUCGCGCAGUGGUUUCGACAACCUUAACAUCUCCAAGUCCUCCAUAAAGCCGGAAAAUCAGGAAGUGCGACUCGAGGUUUCCCUCGACACCGACAAUGUCAAUUACGAUCACAGCAAGGGGGAACAGAUCGCCCUUAAUGUCGACGGAGCUCUGAAACAUGACCAGGAAGGCGAACGAGCUUUCGACAGUCACAUUAUGGACAAGACAGUUCUUCAUUCUAUGCGUGCCCUUCCCGACUGUUCAAACUACGCCGUCGGGGUAUUCCUAGACGGAGAACUACACCUAACGCCACUGAAAGGCGUGGUUCAAAUGCGUCCGCAAUUCCAUUACCUGGACAAGAGCGACAAGAGAGUAAAGGACGAGGCUAAAGUGGCGGGCGAAGAGGCUGAAGACGAGGAGGAGAGUGUCAAGCAGGUGAAUGUGACGUUUGCCAGACAGGAGCCAGAGUUCGUGAAAAAAAUGCGGGAACAGUCGUUUCAACAUCACACUAAAAAGAGUUUAGAGGAGCAGUGGGUUCACACAGAAUAUGUUAAACCCACUACUGGAAAGGCAGAGUUGACCAGAAUGGAAAUGAUUUCUACUUCAAAUGAGGACUCUGUCAAUACUCUAAAUCUAACUAGUGAAAAGUACCUCUCACUUUUGGUUCCACCGCCGAAAGAGGAUGAAAUCGUGAAGGCUGCAGAUCCCAACCCGACCAUGUCUCUGAAAUAUAUUCGCACACUGCCGCUUCUCGAUCAAAUACGAAUAUUCGUGAAAGAUGCAAAAGUCAUGGCAUUCUCCCAGCUGCGAAUUCUUCUCUCCAGCGGUCACGAUCCUGCCACCGUUUUGAAGUACCUUCAACAAGUAGCAGUGUUGGUUCAAGGAAAUUGGAUCGUAAACAGCGAGCUGGUUUAUCCAAAAGACACAGUUUCCGCGCACAACGGGAUCCCCUCCGACUUGAUGUGUCGAGCACGGGAUUAUGUCCUUUUGGCGUUCACCGAAUCCCAACAUAUCGAUCGCAAGACCAUAUCUUCAGUUGUAAAAUUGCCGUCCGAAGAGGUGUCUGAAAUAUUUACAAAUCUUGCCCGUCAUCAAACAAAAAAAGGAUGGUCUCUAAUCUUGCCUCGCAAUCAAGAUUUCAUAGAUAGGCAUCCGGAAAUUGCUCAGCGGCAGGAAAUGUUAUGGGAAGCAAAGCGAAAGCACCUAAGAGAGGCAAUGGAGCCUCACAAUCAGCCACCCCAGCGACAAAGGCGAAAAUCAAACAGGGAAUCGAUCGGCUCUGAAAACGAGGAGAGAAACGUAGGCCGAGGUAGAAAAACCCUGAGAGAUUCCUCGGUAUCCGAUAACGACAGCUCCGCCGAAAAUGCCAAGCAGAAAAAAACUAACAGGCCUAGAAAAUCGUCCGAGACAACGUGACCUAGGCUGGUACGUGAAUAAAUUGAUAAUAGAAAGCGUUUGAGGGGCAAAAAAAAGGACAAGAAGGGGAAGAAGGAUUUUGGUCGGCUGGAACUGUGGAUGUCAAUCGUAUCAUCGAAGAUCAUUGUCAGUCUAAGAAAGUGUUGAUCUUACUGCCGCCACUGCAACUCCUGUCAGUAAUUAUUGAUCGAAUUUCUCAGGGUCAGAAAAAUAUUCCGCAUCUCUCUGCAACGCUGAGGUCGGAAACCACAGAGAUACUCCAGGUUCGACGACGAAUGGAUUCAGCCCUGGCAGCGCUGGUGGAAGUUCGAAUUUCUCUCUGCAAACUCUGUCGAUCAGCGUCGCAGGCGUAUGAAGGCGCAGGGUCUCAUUAACGACAGCGUCCAGAUACCGCAUGGCGUGCAGAGCCUCGUAGGUCACGUCGCCGUCGCAUUCUUCCACAACCCGAUCGACCUCCGCUUGAAGCUUCUCCUGCACGUCCGGAUUCACGGUAAUCUCGUGGACGGCGAAAGUCAUUAGCACGGAAACCGUGUCGAACCCGCCUAAGUAGAAUAAGAAAGCGUGAGCCGCCAUCUCUUUGACCGUCAAUUUGAGACUCUCGUCUUUAUUCCUCGCCUGCAUCAUCAGCUGGAGCAUGUCAGGGCGGUAAAUUCCUCUUGCGUCCCUUGUCGUGACCGACGUUUUGAUUACGUCGUUGUAGAAACCGACUAUCUUGUCGUCGAACAGCCUUACUUUGAAGAGUUUUGCUAGGCGUGGAAACAUCCGAAGCACGAAUAAUUUUGUCGACCUUAUACCAUCAAAGUUUGACGCUUUUCCACCCAUUACGUAAAACUCGUUUUCUGGCUCUGCGAGCGAAUCCAUGCUUAUGCCAAACGCUGAUGUUAGUAUCACAUCGUUCGUGUACCUCGCCAGGAUGUUCCUCAUGUCGAAGACGUUUGAAUCGUCACCCCGCGUUUUCAAGUGCCUUACCAAAUUUACUGCGCAUUCCUUCACCAGUUUGAAUAUAGUUUUCAUUUUACUUGAUGUAAAGGAGGGGCUCAACAGCGUCCUCGUAUCCUUCCAACGCUUGCCUUGCAGCCCGAAGAGGCUCUCCUUGAAGAACGAAUCGGGUACUUCUUGGGCGAACAUUUUGUGAUCCGGAAAAUUCUCAAAGUUCUUUAUUGCGAUCAACCUGAUGAGCUCUGGAUCUCUGAGGAGGACGACAGGGCUUGCGAAGUCGAAGAAUCCUACGUACUUUGCAUCGCGAUUGUAAUUGUAGGCGUGCAAAAUUGUAUCCGUGAGACUCUUCCUGCCGAAGAAAACUUGUGCCAUAUUACCCAGCACAGGUAUCGGCGGUAGAUACGGGAUUCCUCUAUUCUUGAAGUAAUCCAAACCGCGGAAACCAUAGUAGUAGAUUAUAGUCAGGGCGACUAACGCCGAGGCGACUAAAGUCGUCCAAGCUUCUAUCAUUUUCCCCGACUUCCUCACAACUCUAUGUUAUUCUUUGAAGAAUUGUCAAUGGCAAAUUGAAAGUUUUCUAUUCUAUUUCACGCCCAGUCGUUCAGAAUUCGCAGCUUAACUAUCCCUUCUCACAGAGAGUGUUUAUGACACGUCUUGCAACACUGAGUGAAGAAAUCUAUUUGAAAAUAUUCUCGUUUUUUUGAUAACCUCAGCGCAGUAUCUGCUCCAUAGGUCAGAGUGCUGCUCGAUCUACUUUCAAUAUGUCUUUAUUGUAUAAUAUCGUGUGUUUUCUGUUUGCGAGAAUUUGCUGCGAGCGCAGGACUGAUAAACUCGAAAUAAAAUUAUGUGCAAAAGGUUUGAACUUGAUAACGGUACCGUAGAUUUGUUAGAUUUUAUUUUACUAUUUGUAUUUCAUGGCACUAGUGUAUUACAGCUAUAAUCUCAUUCGAAUUUCUACUUCGUCAUUGUUUAUUUACAGUACUGAUAAUCGUGUUAUACAACAGUUAUGAAAUACUCUAAAAAACGAAUACAAAUAAAAAACCUUGUCGAUUUUAAACUUGCUAAACUUGUUCUACAUCUGUCAAAUGACGUCAGUUGUAAAAUAAUGGAAAAACAUAUUUGUCGUUGAAAAGUGGACGGAUAUUGGGACGGAACAUUAGUUGGUCACUUACGUACUACAAUAACAAGCCUACAAGAUCUAUUCAUGAUCAGUUUGUAAAAGCGAUAGAAAUUUAACCUAAUAAAUAAAAUAAAGUAUACUGAUGAUUAAA